AGCGAACGCUGGCGGCAGGCCUAAUACAUGCAAGUCGAACGGAUCCUUCGGGAUUAGUGGCGGACGGGUGAGUAACACGUGGGAACGUGCCCUUUGGUUCGGAACAACUCAGGGAAACUUGAGCUAAUACCGGAUAAGCCCUUCGGGGAAGGAUUAUCGCCAUUGGAGCGGCCCGCGUCUGAUUAGCUAGUUGGUGGGGUAAAGGACCUACCAAGGCGACGAUCAGUAGCUGGUCUGAGAGGANGAUCAGCCACACUGGGACUGAGACACGGCUCAGACUCCUACGGGAGGCAGCAGUAGGGAAUCUUGCGCAAUGGGCGAAAGCCUGACGCAGCCAUGCCGCGUGAAUGAUGAAGGUCUUAGGAUUGUAAAAUUCUUUCAGCGGGACGAUAAUGACGGUACCGCAGAAGAAGCCCCGGCUAACUCGUGCCAGCAGCCGCCGUAA
Molecule: ribosomal RNA, 445 nt
Filed under: uncultured bacterium
Lineage: Bacteria
Description: bacterial SSU rRNA
Rfam family: Bacterial small subunit ribosomal RNA
Source: RNAcentral